RNAcentral lists this ribosomal RNA (253 nucleotides) under uncultured bacterium. Its description in RNAcentral is "partial 16S ribosomal RNA". It matches the Rfam family "Bacterial small subunit ribosomal RNA", at positions 524 to 776 of the family's 1533-position model. The record is from RNAcentral.
UACAGAGGUGGCAAGCGUUGUUCGGAAUUACUGGGCGUAAAGGGCGCGUAGGCGGCCAUCUAAGUCAGACGUGAAAUCCCCCGGCUUAACCUGGGAACUGCGUCUGAUACUGGACGGCUUGAGUAUGGGAGAGGGAUGUAGAAUUCCAGGUGUAGCGGUGAAAUGCGUAGAUAUCUGGAGGAAUACCGGUGGCGAAGGCGGCAUCCUGGACCAUUACUGACGCUGAGGCGCGAAAGCGUGGGGAGCGAUCCGG